This 508-nucleotide ribosomal RNA is filed under the name uncultured glomeraceous AM fungus. RNAcentral describes it as "SSU rRNA". It matches the Rfam family "Eukaryotic small subunit ribosomal RNA", at positions 569 to 1078 of the family's 1831-position model. The record is from RNAcentral. Lineage: Eukaryota; Fungi; Glomeromycota; Glomeromycetes; Glomerales; Glomeraceae.
AGCAGCCGCGGUAAUUCCAGCUCCAAUAGCGUAUAUUAAAGUUGUUGCAGUUAAAAAGCUCGUAGUUGAAUUUCGGGGUUAGUAGGUUGGUCAUGCCUCCGGUAUGUACUGAUCUCACUGAUUCCUCCUUCCUUAUGAACCGUAAUGCCAUUAAUUUGGUGUUGCGGGGAAUUUGGACUGUUACUUUGAAAAAAUUAGAGUGUUUAAAGCAGGCUAACGCUUGAAUACAUUAGCAUGGAAUAAUGAAAUAGGACGUUCGAUCUUAUUUUGUUGGUUUCUAGGAUUGACGUAAUGAUUAAUAGGGAUAGUUGGGGGCAUUAGUAUUCAAUUGUCAGAGGUGAAAUUCUUGGAUUUAUUGAAGACUAACUACUGCGAAAGCAUUUGCCAAGGAUGUUUUCAUUAAUCAAGAACGAAAGUUAGGGGAUCGAAGACGAUCAGAUACCGUCGUAGUCUUAACCAUAAACUAUGCCGACUAGGGAUCGGAUGAUGUUAAUUUUUUAAUGACUCA